RNAcentral lists this long non-coding RNA (303 nucleotides) under Panax ginseng (ginseng). RNAcentral describes it as "long non-coding RNA (PGIN_LNC009445)". Lineage: Eukaryota; Viridiplantae; Streptophyta; Magnoliopsida; Apiales; Araliaceae. The record is from RNAcentral.
AUGUUCACAACUUAGUCCUUUAUUACUAGUGGUAAAUGGGUAUAGUAGAUAUAUAAAUGGUAGACCUAAAAUGAUUUUGUCAGUAAGAUUGCGAACUAAAACGAAUGAGGUCUUAAAACACAUGUUGUCCUGACAAAUAUGUACUUUAGGUAAUUUGUACUUUAUUUCCAUUUGACUGCCGUUAGCUGAAUUUAGUUUUUCACUAGUUUUCUUAUAAUAUCUAGUGGGGAUAAUACCUUCUUGAAUACAAUUCAAGUCUGCACCAGUAUCAACGAGAGCAGGGAGCUGUACUGAGAAAGUUUU